Molecule: ribosomal RNA, 468 nt
Filed under: uncultured bacterium
Lineage: Bacteria
Description: partial 16S ribosomal RNA
Rfam family: Bacterial small subunit ribosomal RNA
Source: RNAcentral
GACGAACGCUGGCGGUGGGCCUAACACAUGCAAGUCGAACGGCAACGCACUGCUUUCGUGCGCUGCCCGAGUGCCGAUCGGGUGCGUAACACGAGUGUAACCUAACCUACUUUUUGGGGUAGCUUAACGUAACUGGGGUUACUACAGUACAGCAGCCCAUGUAGCAUGGAGAGGAUUGGAACUUUUGUGCGGUUGCGGCUGGAUGAGCGGAUUACCGCCUAGCUGGUGGGGUAGUGGCUUACCAAGGCAUUGACGGGUAGCCGGCCGGGGAGGGUGACCGGCCACAUGAGGACUGAGGUACGGACCAGAGUCCUACGGGGGACAACGGUGGGGAAUAUUGCACAAUGAGCGCAAGCCUGAGGCAGCAACGCCGCGUGCGGGAAGACGGCCUGCGGGUUGUGAACCGCUGUCGCCUAUGACGAAGCGUGAGUGACGGUAAUGGGUGAAGAAGCACCGGCUAACUACGUG